RNAcentral lists this ribosomal RNA (510 nucleotides) under uncultured bacterium. RNAcentral describes it as "partial 16S ribosomal RNA". It matches the Rfam family "Bacterial small subunit ribosomal RNA", at positions 28 to 507 of the family's 1533-position model. The record is from RNAcentral.
GACGAACGCUGGCGGCGUGCUUAACACAUGCAAGUCGAACGAAGAGCGAUGGAAGCUUGCUUCUAUCAAUCUUAGUGGCGAACGGGUGAGUAACGCGUAAUCAACCUGCCCUUCAGAGGGGGACAACAGUUGGAAACGACUGCUAAUACCGCAUACGAUCCAAUCUCGGCAUCGGGACUGGAUGAAAGGUGGCCUCUAUUUAUAAGCUAUCACUGAAGGAGGGGAUUGCGUCUGAUUAGCUAGCUGGGUGGGGAACGGCCUACCAAGGGGAUGAACAGUAGCCGGUCUGGAGGGAGGAACGGCCACAUUGGGAAUGGGACCCGGCCCAGGACUCUUCGGGGGGCAGCAGGGAGGAAACUUCCGGAAUGGAGGAAAGUCUGACCGGACAACGCCGGGGGGAUGAUGGCAGCUCUCCGGUUGGAAAGCCCUUGUUAUCGGGGCGGAAGAUACUUGUACGAAUAGGGGGAGGAUUUGACGGUACCUGAAUAGAAAGCCACGGCUAACUACGUG